UGCUGGGACCUAGAAUGGGCUCUGGUCAGGCUUGUAUAAGUACAGACCUCACACCAGGUUUCAUGCGCCCACAUCCCCACCCCCACCCCAUGAAGAUCGAAGCUCCCAGCAUACCACAGUUCCAUUUUUCCUUUUAGGCAUCAAACUGUCACUUCACUAAACACCA
Molecule: small nucleolar RNA, 166 nt
Organism: Homo sapiens (human)
Lineage: Eukaryota; Metazoa; Chordata; Mammalia; Primates; Hominidae
Source: RefSeq, marked validated